GAUUGAACGCUGGCGGCGUGCUUAACACAUGCAAGUCGUGCGAGAAAGGGGACUUCGGUCCCUGAGUAGAGCGGCGCACGGGUGAGUAACGCGUGGAUUAUCUACCCAGACGUUCGGGAUAACGGCGGGAAACUGCCGCUAAUACCGGAUACGCUCCAAUUUCGGUUGGGGAAAGGCGGCCUCUGCUUGCAAGCUGUCGCAUCUGGAUGAGUCCGCGUCCCAUUAGCUUGUUGGUGGGGUAAUGGCCUACCAAGGCUACGAUGGGUAGCUGGUCUGAGAGGAUGAUCAGCCACACUGGAACUGAAACACGGUCCAGACUCCUACGGGAGGCAGCAGUGGGGAAUAUUGCGCAAUGGGGGAAACCCUGACGCAGCGACGCCGUGUGAGGG
This 389-nucleotide ribosomal RNA is filed under the name uncultured bacterium. RNAcentral's name for it is "bacterial SSU rRNA". It matches the Rfam family "Bacterial small subunit ribosomal RNA", at positions 27 to 407 of the family's 1533-position model. The record is from RNAcentral.